RNAcentral lists this transfer RNA (73 nucleotides) under Neotoma lepida (desert woodrat). It matches the Rfam family "tRNA". From Rfam's summary of the family: Transfer RNA (tRNA) molecules are approximately 80 nucleotides in length. The record is from Rfam by way of RNAcentral. Lineage: Eukaryota; Metazoa; Chordata; Mammalia; Rodentia; Cricetidae.
GGGGAUGUAGUUCAGUUGGUAGAGUGCUUGCCUAUUAUUCAUGAAGCCCUGGGUUCAAUGCCCAGCACCACCU